CGGCGAUGCCUCCUGCCCGAUACCCACGGGGGCACUCGAUCAUGCUGUGGGAUACAAACGUGUACUCCUUAGACACUUCGGUUGUCAAUAGUGUGGUGUGAGGGUGGGUUAGAUGCCCA
Molecule: regulatory RNA element, 119 nt
Rfam family: epsC RNA
Source: Rfam